Molecule: long non-coding RNA, 1142 nt
Organism: Oncorhynchus nerka (sockeye salmon)
Lineage: Eukaryota; Metazoa; Chordata; Actinopteri; Salmoniformes; Salmonidae
Exons: 3
Source: RefSeq, a predicted model, not a curated record
GAUAUUGUCUGAGGUUAUGAGCCACGCAGACAGAUAAAGAGAGAGACCCCACAGAGAUACACUGUAACCACCAGUUCCUGGAAUCCCAGACGUGAUGACACAGGGAGGGAUCAAGGAGGGGUGCGUCACUUGAGUGGGUUGAGUCAAUGACGUGAUCUUCGUGUCCGGGUUGGAGCCCCCCCUUGGGUUGUGCCGUGGCGGAGAUCUUUGUGGGCUAUACUCGGCUUUGUCUCAGGAUGAGGACCUAAGCCCUAGGACCAUGCCUCAGGACUACCUGACAUGAUGACUCCUUGCUGUCCCCAGUCCACCUGGCCGUGCUGCUGCUCCAGUUGCAACUGUUCUGCCUGUGAUUAUUAUUAUUUGACCAUGCUGGUCAUUCAUGAACAUUUGAACAUCUUGGCCAUGUUCUGUUAUAAUCUCCACCCGGCACAGUCAGAAGAGGACUGGCCACCCCAUCAUAGCCUGGUUCCUCUCUAGGUUUCUUCCUAGGUUUUUGGCCUUUCUAGGGAGUUUUUCCUAGCCACCGUGCUUCUACACCUGCAUUGCUUGCUGUUUGGGGUUUUAGGCCGGGUUUCACUUUGAGAUAUCAGCUGAUGUACGAAGGGCUAUAUAAAUACAUUUGAUUUGAUUAGUCACUACUGCUAGUCCAAUUAUACAGUGAUAAACAUACCAAAACAUGCUCAAGUCAAUUGUUCUGUAUUAUCUAUUGAGCCAUAUAUUGAUGCGCUUUAACAUUAUAAUUCUGAUAACAUGGUAAAGCAAAACCCCUACUAUCAACCCAGAUGUUAACAACCCAAAUGUAUAAAUGGCAGUCUUCAGUGCUCCAUGUUGAGUCCAUCACUCAAAUUCACUCACAUUCACUCAAACUCAAGACCCGCAACUUAGCACACACCAACACAGUUAGAAUGUACAAACAGGGGACCAUAUAUAGACAGUUUGUACUACAUAUUACCAGUAUGAAGUUUUCUCAUUACAGCCCCCAUUUAUCCCUGUUGCGAGUGGCAUGUUAAUGACAGACCGGUAUAUCAAUGCAUUCUUGGUCUAAAUUACUAUAAAUUUCAUAGUGUGCAGACCUCCACAAUCAACCUGAUACCCCAAAUAAACAAUUACGGACACGGUCGACCACCACCCCUCCCUCUAAA